UACUACGGCCAUGCCACCCUGAACAUGCCCGAUCUCAUCUGAUCUCGAAAGCAAAGCAGGGUCAGGCCUGGUUAGUACUUGGAUGGGAGACCACUUCGGAAUACCAGGUGCUGUAGGUG
This 119-nucleotide ribosomal RNA is filed under the name Pteropus alecto (black flying fox). The record is from RNAcentral. Lineage: Eukaryota; Metazoa; Chordata; Mammalia; Chiroptera; Pteropodidae.